GUGGGGAAUAUUGGACAAUGGGCGAAAGCCUGAUCCAGCCAUGCCGCGUGUGUGAAGAAGGUCUUCGGAUUGUAAAGCACUUUAAGUUGGGAGGAAGGGUAGUAACCUAAUACGUUGCUACUUUGACGUUACCGACAGAAUAAGCACCGGCUAACUUCGUGCCAGCAGCCGCGGUAAUACGAAGGGUGCAAGCGUUAAUCGGAAUUACUGGGCGUAAAGCGCGCGUAGGUGGUUCAGUAAGUUGGAAGUGAAAUCCCCGGGCUCAACCUGGGAACUGCUUUCAAAACUGGCGAGCUAGAGUACGGUAGAGGGUGGUGGAAUUUCCUGUGUAGCGGUGAAAUGCGUAGAUAUAGGAAGGAACACCAGUGGCGAAGGCGACCACCUGGACUGAUACUGACACUGAGGUGCGAAAGCGUGGGGAGCAAACAGGAUUAGAUACCCGUGUAGUCC
Molecule: ribosomal RNA, 450 nt
Filed under: uncultured bacterium
Lineage: Bacteria
Description: partial 16S ribosomal RNA
Rfam family: Bacterial small subunit ribosomal RNA
Source: RNAcentral